RNAcentral lists this ribosomal RNA (970 nucleotides) under Brevibacterium sp. B-1148. Its description in RNAcentral is "bacterial SSU rRNA". It matches the Rfam family "Bacterial small subunit ribosomal RNA", at positions 42 to 987 of the family's 1533-position model. Lineage: Bacteria; Bacillati; Actinomycetota; Actinomycetes; Micrococcales; Brevibacteriaceae. The record is from RNAcentral.
GNARUACUUAACACAUGCAAGUCGAACGCUGAAGCCUGGUGCUUGCACCGGGUGGAUGAGUGGCGAACGGGUGAGUAACACGUGAGUAACCUGCCCCCGACUUCGGGAUAAGCCCGGGAAACUGGGUCUAAUACCGGAUAUGACAACCGAAGGCAUCUUUGGUUGUGGAAAGUUUUUUCCGUUGGGGAUGGGCUCCCGGCCUAUCAGUUUGUUGGUGAGGUAAUGGCUCACCAAGACGACCACCGGUAGCCGGGCUGAGAGGGCGACCGGCCACACUGGGACUGAAACACGGCCCAAACUCCUACGGGAGGCAGCAGUGGGGAAUAUUGCACAAUGGGGGAAACCCUGAUGCAGCGACGCAGCGUGCGGGAUGACGGCCUUCGGGUUGUAAACCGCUUUCAGCAGGGAAGAAGCCUCUAUCGGUGACCGUACCUGCAGAAGAAGUACCGGCUAACUACGUGCCAGCAGCCGCGGUAAUACGUAAGGUACCAGCGUUGUCCGGAAUUAUUGGGCGUAAAGAGCUCGUAAGUGGUUGGUCACGUCUGCUGUGGAAACGCAACGCUUAACGUUGCGCGUGCAGUGGGGUACGGGCUGACUAGAGUGCAGUAAGGGAGUCUGGAAUUCCUGGUGUAGCGGUGAAAUGCGCAGAUAUCAGAGGAACACCGGGUGGCGAAGCGGGACUCUGGGCUGUAACUGACCACUGGAGGAGCGAAAGCAUGGGGAAGCGAACAGGAUUAGAUACCCUGGUAGUCCAUGGCCGUAAACGUUGGGCACUAAGGUGUGGGGGGACAAUCCACGGUUCUCGGCGCCGUAGCUAACCGCAAUUAAGGUGCCCCGCCUGGGGGAAGUACGGGUCCGCAAAGGCUUAAACUCUCAAAAGGAAUUGGACCGGGGGGUCCCGCCCAGCCGGGCGGAGCCAUGCCGGAUUUAAUUUCGAUGGCACGCGGAAGAAACCUUUACCCAAGGGCCU